CUCUGAUCAUUUCAGUGAUACUCACAUGGAUGAACAAUGAGGCCGGUCCCUCUUCCAAAGUAAUGUUUCCUUGGAAGUAGAAAAGGACCCACUCACCAGGCAUGACAGUCAGACUUCAUUGUCUGCCACUUACAGCUUUGGGCGUUUAAUGGAAAUUUCACAAGCCAGUUUCUCGUGAGCUUCACUACCUUGAAGAAGUGUGAUACAAUCAAAAUACCUCUGGUUUUGCCUGUCUACCCUGAUCACAGGAGCUUCCAUACAUGGAGUUAUGGCCCAAGAAUGUAUUUCUGAACACCUUUCAAACUUGCAGCUUAUUGUCACCUUAUGAAAAAUAUUUCAAAAGAAAUCUCUGAUUCUGGCCUCAUGGUGAACUCUUUGCUAUAUUUAAAUGUAGACAUAGAAAGGCGGGGCCUCUUCUCCCAAAGGAAGAAAAUGAUUUGGAAAAUGGCACAGAAUGAGACAGCUCAAUGCAAGAAGUUACACUUGGCCAGGAUUCCAUUUUUUUGUUCCUGAUAUAAAGUACCUCUUAAAGAAUUUAUCUCUUGCCUAUCCCUGGAACAAGGAAAGUGAAAAUGCAUGGGCAUCAGAGCCAGGAACCUCAGCAAAGGUCGACCAGAGAUGUAGGUAUUUUGUGAAAAGUGGAAGGAGAGGGAUUGCUGGGGUGAUAUAAAAAACCCACCCCAAGAUUUUAAUUGGAGCCAAAAAUCACACUGAGUUUAACAAUAUGUCUCUGAACAAAUUCCAGUGGGGACAGCCUAGAGGGAAGACUUGAAAAUGAAUUCUAAAAUUCCAUAAUAUUUUAUACUUCAUGAUAAAUAAACAAUGAAAAAUAUAAUUGAUAUUUGGGUAGCAGAAGCCUGCAGCAACUUUCCCAGCAUUGGGGGGGGGGUAUUAUUUGGCUAAGCUGUGGAAGGGUCCCGGCCUUGAGGCCACCCAUGUUCUGACAGCCUAAGAAACUUGCUCACCCAUGGCUGAAAACACUUUCAACUCAAUGGACAUCAACAUCAGAAAAUCACAUGAAAACAACUUACUGGGGAGAACAUUAAGUCGUGUGCCUUUUCCAAAGAUGAUUUUGUUAGAAUUUGAUUUACACCGUGACUGGGACCAUAGCAAAAACUCCUAGAGAUUCUUUUUUGAGAAAGCUACAUAUUCAUUGAUGAAUAUUUCACCUUCAUGAGACUAAACAGGUUCCCAGAUUGUCUCUUCUCUCAUAAUAAACUGGCCUCAUUA
Heterocephalus glaber (naked mole-rat) is the source of this 1230-nucleotide non-coding RNA. The record is from RefSeq and is a predicted model, not a curated record. NCBI's taxonomy places the organism in Eukaryota, Metazoa, Chordata, Mammalia, Rodentia, Bathyergidae.